UGCCAGCAGCCGCGGUAAUACGUAGGUGGCAAGCGUUGUCCGGAUUUACUGGGUGUAAAGGGCGUGUAGGCGGGAAUACAAGUCAGAUGUGAAAUACUGUGGCUCAACCACAGAACGGCAUCUGAAACUGUAUUUCUUGAGUACUGGAGAGGAAAGCGGAAUUCCUAGUGUAGCGGUGAAAUGCGUAGAUAUUAGGAGGAACACCGGUGGCGAAGGCGGCUUUCUGGACAGUAACUGACGCUGAGACGCGAAAGCGUGGGGAGCAAACAGGAUUAGAUA
RNAcentral lists this ribosomal RNA (279 nucleotides) under uncultured bacterium. Its description in RNAcentral is "partial 16S ribosomal RNA". It matches the Rfam family "Bacterial small subunit ribosomal RNA", at positions 506 to 784 of the family's 1533-position model. The record is from RNAcentral.